Molecule: transfer RNA, 69 nt
Filed under: Marcia recens
Lineage: Eukaryota; Metazoa; Mollusca; Bivalvia; Venerida; Veneridae
Description: tRNA-Gln
Source: RNAcentral
AAUAGAAAAGUGUAUUAGCGCACGUGGAGCUUUGAUCUCUAAAGAAAUAAUUCGCUUUAUUUUCUAUUA